UACGAAGGGGGCUAGCGUUGCUCGGAAUCACUGGGCGUAAAGCGCACGUAGGCGGAUCUUUAAGUCAGGGGUGAAAUCCCAGAGCUCAACUCUGGAACUGCCUUUGAUACUGGGUAUCUGGAGUAUGGAAGAGGUGAGUGGAAUUCCGAGUGUAGAGGUGAAAUUCGUAGAUAUUCGGAGGAACACCAGUGGCGAAGGCGGCUCACUGGUCCAUUACUGACGCUGAUGCGCGAAAGCGUGGGGAGCGAUCCGG
Molecule: ribosomal RNA, 253 nt
Filed under: uncultured bacterium
Lineage: Bacteria
Description: partial 16S ribosomal RNA
Rfam family: Bacterial small subunit ribosomal RNA
Source: RNAcentral